AAAAACACUAGUAAUAGACCCAGCCCUAAUAGCCCAAACACACAAAGGCCCUGAGACCCACAGAAGACAACUCGACUAACACAAUGGAUGAGGAAGCUAUGCAGUGCCAACGAGAGUAGGAUGGCCGUGCCGGGCUGAGAUAGACAGAUAAUUGUCGAGCAGAGUCCUUUAGAAAUUAGAGAACCAAACUGAUGAAGACGACAGAACUCGAGAGUGGCCAACAAAGGGUGAUGAGACAGUGCUUCAUAACUUCUCAAAGCCUUGAGGGUCACUUUCAGUGGCAGAUAUCUUAUCAAUUCUUUUGCGGAAAACUGCAUGAGAAUAGUUAAAAUUUCAUGUAAACAUUCAUUGGAAAUAAUGAUAGACUAAAUAUUGUAAAAGUUACAUUUUCAUAAGUCUCAAAGUAAAAUACAAAAUAAUUACAAACUCAAAAUAUGAUAGCGAUGCAAUGCUUUUAAAUAUAAACUGCUCAAUGUCUGUACAUCCAUACAUAUAAGUGCAAAAUACAUUAAAAUAAAAUUACAGGAGUAUACUUACAAUAUAUACCCACAAACAAUACCAAAAUGCUACUUCCAAGUCUCUAACUCGGCAGUCUUAUCCUUUCCCUUACUUGCGAUAGCAUAAAGAAGCUAUCGCUGAGUAUAUCACUCAGUGGUGCAUAACUAAUAACUUUAAAACUUAAGGUAAAACACAAUUUAUCAAAGCAUAAUAAAUCACAUUUUUCUUAAGUAUGAAAACUUCACAAUAAUUCUAAAUUCAUAAGAGCCAUUUAUUAGAAUAACAUUUCAAAUGAGAAGCGAUUCAGGACUCCACUCAUCCAUAAAAAUGAACAAACCUCUCACAGAUCAACUCAUCACGAGCAAAAGCAAGACCUCCAAAUCCCUCAUCAUGAAAACCAACCUGUAAGCACAAAAACUACAAACCUCACUCCGAAGUGGGGAGAGAGAGAAUUACCCAUGCCUUAGGCGAGGGGAGAAGAGCCACCCUUACUUGAAAAGGAUAGGGCAAACCGUAACAUCCAGCCAAAACAAAAAACUUAGCCUAAAAAGGAAGCGAGAAAUUUUUCUCUCUAAAAAAUCUAGAGAGAUAUUAUAAUUCUAGCAAUAAAAAAGAUCCCUUUUCUAUAUAAAUUGAAAUUAUGUUGUCUUGUAAUCUAAUCACCAAAGUACUUGAUAAAGUUGUGAUUCUAAUUAGUAUACAAAUAAUGGCAGUGAUCUAUUACUAUAUUACAAAUUACCAAUCUAACUGCUUAUGUACGAGGCCAAGAGCUACUCAUUUUCAUUCUUACGUUUCCGCUAAACAAUAACAAUAUCAUGGAGCAAUUUUUCUUACCAUCCUAAUGUAAACAUACAUGCAUAUAUGGAUCUGCAACUCCUUCGAAACCUUGACCCUACCAUCGGACCCUCUUCCAACAUAGAUUAAAGAUGACGAAGCCAAAAAGGAUCGCAUCCAACUUUUUGUCCAAAUUGAUGAUUAUGCCGUUUUGUUUUUAGAUUUCUAUAGUUAUAGCAUCGCAUCCAAAAAAUGCUAAGAUAACGCAUUAGCCUUCAGAAAAUAUUCCUCUUCCAUGGCCAAGAGAAAAAACGCCAAAUCCAGAAACUUGCAAUUCCCGCAAAGCGAUCUUUUUCUAACUCGCCAUAACAGCCAACGCAACAAUCCGACUCAUGCAUUCACAUUACACAAGCACUUUUUAACUCUUUACAAUCUAUUAUUCUGGAAAAUUGAAGGGCAUGAAAUGAAAGACCAAGUUCAAGAAAGAACCUCCUCUCCUCGACUCUGAUUUGCCGCUUUUAGUAAUUCCAAAAGGGUGAACUAGAAAAGCCCAAAAACAGGGGCAAAAAAAAAAGCAGCUAAAUAACCCAAAAAAUUAUAAUAUAGAAACAAGAACUCUUUUACAUACUUAACAUUGGAAAUUUUAGAAGAGAAUCUUGGAAGUGGGUGGUUUACAAACUGGAUGAGAGAGAAAAUCUGUCAGCUAUCCCAACAAAAGGCAAAAUUCAAGCAACCACCCAGAGCCUGCAAAUCUUUAACCAAUUCACAUUGAAACGGCAGGAGCCACAAGCCAGAUUAACCAGAAAGGUUCCUAUGCUACAAGCAAAGCAAACAAAUCAUGAGAAUGAUAGCCAUUAGUGCAGAUUUUAGAGCAGUAGGAGAGGCUGUCCUGUGUGAGUCCCCCAUGGCUAGACCAGCCAACCAUGAUCCAUCUGCUAGCAUGGUUUCUCCAGAACCAGAACCAGAUCCGGAUCCAGAUAACGACACAGAACCAGAAUCUGCACCUGAACCCGAAUACUCUAGCCCUGAUCCUGACCCUGACACUUCCCCUGGGUUGGUUGUUUCUGCUGUCAUUGGUGUUGAAUAGCUUGAAUAGCUUGAAGAUUUCUGACUUGGGGAAGACGGGCAAAACGACACCGUAUAAUCGGCGCCGGUGCAUGUGAAAGUACUGGUGGCAUCAUCAUAUGCGUAGCUAUACGAUUUAGGACAUGCAGCUUUAAACAUCUCCGAGUAAACUGACGGCUUACAUGUAGUGGGUGUGUUAAACGCGCCGCUGCAACAGUACUCGGGGCUCCCAAAGGCCUCGCACGCGCUCUUGCACGCAUCACCGUCACCCAUCCUUAGCUCUGCUGGGCACUGUCUGUUCAGAUCCGUGAAGCAACCCGUCGAAGCGCACAUACCCGACCCGCCACUCCCUUCAACUACCAUAGGGAGGUUGUAGCCGUCCACAAGACUGACAUCAUAGAAGUCCUGCCCACCCGUCCCAAGUGUGAACUCAGCCAGGGUAGCAGGCGGGGCGGCUCCAAGUCCGUUGCAUUCAACUUGGCCCGAACCACAGUCUCCAGUAAUACAGGAUCCGGAUCCAGAGUCGUCAAAAUUGCAGCCAGUUCGGGCCCAGAAGCGGCCGGACCAACCGGUUGGAGUUUGAAAAGAACGGGAAGUGUCCUUUGGGAGCUCGAAUCCGCUGCUUCGGGUCUAGGACUGCCGGCAUUGGCUAGAAUGCCGGGCCGGAUAGUGUAGUCGCAUCCCGUUAAGAACUUUGGCCAAUGCAAGUGAAAAUUGCGAAGAAAGAAGUCGGACACCCAUGAAAAACGUUUUCCUUAGACGAUUCCUAGAACAACAAUGGCAAAGCAACAGCAAGGAACACCAUAUUCAGGGCCCAUUAAGGAAAAAACAAAAAGGUUUCAAAUUUGCAAUUUGAAGAGAAAAGGUUGUAGAAAAUUGUAUGCGAGGAAGACCAGAAGUAAGAGGACAAGCAAAUAAUAGAGUGCGUCUGGUACAUUUACCUCUAGAAGUCAAAAGCAGAACAACAAGGAUGAGAAUAAGGAUGGAGGAGCAGCAAGAGAAGUGAUCCAUGUAGCUUUUUUUGCUGUUGUGCUUCCUUUUUUUUUGUGUUCUUCUUUCCUCGAUAGAAUGUAUUAUGUUGAGGGGGGUUUUGUGGUUAUGGCUACAUGUUGUGGUAAUGAUGGUGCUGGUGUACUAAGAUUGUAAUGGAGGAGAAGGGAGUGGGCAAUGCAGAGCCUGACGCCCUUGA
This 3526-nucleotide unclassified non-coding RNA is filed under the name Hevea brasiliensis (rubber tree). Lineage: Eukaryota; Viridiplantae; Streptophyta; Magnoliopsida; Malpighiales; Euphorbiaceae. The record is from RNAcentral.